Molecule: non-coding RNA, 74 nt
Organism: Suricata suricatta (meerkat)
Lineage: Eukaryota; Metazoa; Chordata; Mammalia; Carnivora; Herpestidae
Source: the annotation of a RefSeq genome assembly
GGCUCCAUAGUUCAGUGGUUAGAGCACUGGUCUUGUAUACCAGAGGUCAUGAGUUCAGUCCUCACUUGGGGCUC